AAGACUAUAGACCUGCGGAGUACCUGCGGAAGGAUCAUUACCGAGUUUUCAACUCCCAAACCCCAUGUGAACUUAUACCAUUUACAACCGUUGCUUCGGCGGGUUCUCGCCCCGGGCUUUACACCCCGGAACCAGGCGGCCCGCCGGGGGACCCAAACUCUAGAUUUAUAUUUUAGCAUGUCUGAGUGGAAUCAUUACAAAAUGAAUCAAAACUUUUAGCAAUGGAUCUCUAGAUCGGAA
Molecule: unclassified non-coding RNA, 240 nt
Filed under: soil metagenome
Description: partial contains 5.8S ribosomal RNA, internal transcribed spacer 2, and large subunit ribosomal RNA
Source: RNAcentral